GGCUCUAUACUAAUCCUUUUUGGCUGGCCUGUGGUCUCCAGGAUUUGCUUGUGGACCAGAGCACCCAAGAAGUCCCACCCACCAGUAAGGGCCUCUGUAACCCCUUGCAUGAGUGAUUCUAGACACUC
Molecule: small nucleolar RNA, 128 nt
Filed under: Erinaceus europaeus (western European hedgehog)
Lineage: Eukaryota; Metazoa; Chordata; Mammalia; Eulipotyphla; Erinaceidae
Source: RNAcentral